GAUUAAGCUUACUUUUUAAGUUAUAAAAAAAUUUAAAAAUCCUAGAAUAUCAUCUUACGUCAAUGAACUAUUUUAAUUCUUAUUUUUUGAUUGUACAAUGUCAAAGUAGCGAUCUACCAAUAACCAACAAGAAACUAGUUUGUCAUUAAUUGGUAAAAUUGUGAACUUGUAAAAGGAUUUUAUUAAGAUUCUUGGUAAAUAUCAAGUCUUCGACACGAGGCUUAGGCGAGGUUGUGAGGCAUACAGCGACAUGCUGAUGGUAUUACAGUCCUUACGGAUUUAGGGGAUUUGGGCGUUAGGGAUUUGUGAGUUGCGGCUGCUAGUGAAGUGCCAUGAGUGUAGAGUUAGGGACUUAAACUUGUUUUUAAUUUAAGUUAAUAUAUAUUUUUAA
RNAcentral lists this long non-coding RNA (391 nucleotides) under Citrus x clementina. Its description in RNAcentral is "Citrus clementina (C. clementina) long non-coding RNA (CCLE_LNC003882)". The record is from RNAcentral. Lineage: Eukaryota; Viridiplantae; Streptophyta; Magnoliopsida; Sapindales; Rutaceae.